This 253-nucleotide ribosomal RNA is filed under the name uncultured bacterium. RNAcentral describes it as "partial 16S ribosomal RNA". It matches the Rfam family "Bacterial small subunit ribosomal RNA", at positions 524 to 776 of the family's 1533-position model. The record is from RNAcentral.
UACGGGGGGUGCGAGCGUUGUCCGGAAUCACUGGGCGUAAAGCGCACGUAGGCGGAUUGUUAAGUCAGGGGUGAAAUCCUGGAGCUCAACUCCAGAACUGCCUUUGAUACUGGCGAUCUUGAGUCCGGGAGAGGUGAGUGGAACUCCGAGUGUAGAGGUGAAAUUCGUAGAUAUUCGGAAGAACACCAGUGGCGAAGGCGGCUCACUGGCCCGGUACUGACGCUGAUGUGCGAAAGCGUGGGGAGCAAACAGG